CCCGCUGAACUUAAGCAUAUCACUAAGCGGAGGAAAAGAAAUUAACUAAGAUUGCCCCAGUAACGGCGAGUGAAGCGGCAAAAGCCCAAAGUGGAAAUCUUCACACAUCGUGUGACGAAUUGUAAUCUAAAGGGUAGUAGCUCAAAAGGAGGUGGCGCAGAAGUGCCUUAGAACGGGCCGCCAGAGAGGGUGACAGCCCCGUAUGUGGUGCCAUUGCCUAACGAGCUCUGCUUAAAGAGUCGGGUUGUUUUGAAUUGCAGCCCUAAUAGGAGAUAGACUUCUUCUAAGGCUAAAUAUUUAUGGGAAACCGAUAGCGAACAAGUACUGUGAAGGAAAGAUGAAAAGAACUUUGAAAAGAGAGUCAAAAGACUUGAAAUCGUUGAGAAGGAAGCGGUAGAAAUUUAUUCUUCUGGUGAUAACAAAGUGUUUGUCUAGCGUAUUGGGGCAAAUCAGUACGUCAAAGGCUGACUGUUCCACGUGCGUUAACGAUUGCGGAGUUCUCACUAGUGAGGCAAAAUGAGGCUUCGUUCCCACAAAAGCUGCACAAACCUGGCUUUACGGCAGUUUGGGUGUGCUAGUGGGCGCGGUGCCUGAGGGGCUUAUGCGAUUUUGCCAAAAUGGUUUUUACCGACCCGUCUUGAAACACGG
This 648-nucleotide ribosomal RNA is filed under the name uncultured fungus. Its description in RNAcentral is "eukaryotic LSU rRNA". It matches the Rfam family "Eukaryotic large subunit ribosomal RNA", at positions 24 to 664 of the family's 3401-position model. The record is from RNAcentral. Lineage: Eukaryota; Fungi.